CUGGCUAAGUUAUAUAUAUAAUGAAGAGAAAAGAAAGAGAGGAGCUGGCAAUGUAAAGCAAAAAUAGCAACAGGUUAAUUAAUACGGUAUGCAUUCCAUCUCAUAACUAGUUAUUAAUCUCUUUUGACAUAGCAUCGCUUAACUCUGAUGUGGAAUGUUCCUCCCGCUGCCCCAGAAAAGUGAGCAUCAACUAGUUACUCGCCCACUGAUUGAAAAAUGUUUACAGGAAUUAUGUUCCUUAAUGCCAAAUCUACCUGCUUAACAAGGUAUAUUUGUGAACUUGCACUCCAAAAUGGGAUGUGCCCGCGAUCAAACAAGGCCAAAGAUGUAACCCAAAACGGCAAAAAUCAUUAACCAACCAAGGAGGAAGAAAACGGAAAAAAAAGAAACAAAGAAAAAUUCCCCCAUUGGAUCGACUAACUUUUCCCCUCAGAACCACCCACCAAUCGCCUUCGCAGCUCCUUCGCCAUGGCCUUCCUAGUGUCCUCCGUCCUGGACGCUGCAUCUCGAUUCUCCUGCGCCCUCCGAAGCAAAUACAGCGCACACUCGCCCACUGUGCCCCACACGAGGUACUUGCAUAUCUUUGGCGCCUCCACAUCCACCAUUACCCCUUCCGCCUGCUGUUCGCGAGCGCACUUCCCCGCCUGCACCAGCUGGCAGCUGAUGUCAUCUGCCAUGCCGAACAGCUGGCCAUAGGCCAUUUCGAUCUGAUUUGCCCCACUGGUGCGCUUCUGUUCGUCUCGAAGCUUCUUGGCUCGUUCAACAGAGACGCGGUUGUGCGAGGCUAGGAGGAGAUCGACUUUGGGGAAUUGAGGGUACUGCUGCUCUUUCCUCUGGGCGCUGGUUAUCCUUGUGCCCCCAGAUGAUGGCAGAUAAUUAUGGGGUUUAAGAACGUCUCCGUAUUGUUGCUUAAUCAACGAUUCGGCAAUGCCGUCGUAUGUAUUGUCGGUUUCUUGCUUUGUGUCCCAGAUUAGAUGGCGCGGCUCGCUGCCUAGAUAUGCACCCCGGACGAGCUUGACGCCCAGUGCGAAUCCCUCCGCCUCCGCGAUGGCGAGAUGCUGUGAGAGAGUUGCCGGGGUAGAACGGAGAUAUGCCUGAUAUGUCCCGUAUAUCACAGCUCGCUGGUCCAGUCCCUUAUUAUAUAUUCGCUGGAAUUCAAGAGUCCAAUCGUCAAUGGCUGGUUGGACUGCUUGCUGUUCAGCAUCAAACAAUAACCUGACAUUGCGAGCUUUAGCCCUCUCGCAAAUUUCGAUGAUCGCUUUUCUAAGGGCUGGUGAUGGUGCGGAUCUGCGCAACAGCUGGUGGACCGACCCUUUCCCGGCUCCUGUGAAUUUCAAUGCAACGAAAUCUCCAUCAUCUGCUAGAUCGACUGUGGCAAGGGUUCCUUUCUUCCAAGCUGUUAUAUCAGCAAUGGCUUGAGCCUUGCUUUCCGCUGUUUCUUCUGUAUCGGUUAAUUGAGCAAGAGCACGGGUCUCGUUCUCAUCCAUAACGACUUCCCGCGCAUACCCCAAUAUGACACCAGAAUAUCCGAUCUGCUUCAACUUUUGGAUAUUCACUUUGGCCUCUGCUGGUGUCUCUCCUGCACAGAAUUGUGCGUACAACGUCUGUCCCAUGAUCAGCUUUAUUAUAGGGUUACGAUCAGGAUUUAGAAAUGUGGACUCAGGGUUUGCCACGACUGACAGGAAAGCCAAAGAUGGCGUGAAGAGAAGAGGUGAGGAGGAGAUAGUGGUAACGAAGAGAGAUCGCAGUAUCGUGGACAAGGGCAAAAUAGACAAUGGAGGAGCUGUCGUCGGGUUUGUAAACGGUAUCGAGGAAUUCAGUGUGGCAAAGGGUCUCGUUGACCUAGGAGCUGCCGACGGCCCUCCAGUUGCAGGAGCUGGGCGUUCGGGCUGUUGGGCAGCGCCAUGGUGAGAGCAUCUAACCCCAUGUUGGCUCCAUAUGGUAGGGGGUUUAACAGAAGUCUGGUGCAUAGCAUGAACGAAACAUGGAGUGGUGGUCUUAAAGGCGAGCUGUUUACGCAUCUCGUCACUCCGCUUUGCUUCCUAGGCCCCUUGUAAAAGACUCCAGCUAUAUACCAAAAUCGGCCUAAACGAUACGAAGGGAAAGCUGGAUCAAAAAAAAUAUCGCGUUAUCUGCCUAAAGAUUAAAGAUCGCAGCAAUAUUAUGCCUUGUAGCUGAAGGGGAGAAGUAAGCUGUUGGCGAGAUGUACAACAACAACGACAACGACGAUACUUGAGGUAGACCAGAUAUGGGCAUGUAAGAGAUAUAAGAAAAUAAGAGCAAGAACCUCACACUCUACAAAUCGAUUCAGGAGCAACGGUGUCGGAUGCGGUUCAGUUAUGUACGGUGGAGUGGAUAGCACGGUACCUGUGCACUUAUACCACAGUCUUGCCCUGCUGGCGUUUUACCCUCCUGGGUCGCAAUACCAUCUGGCAUGCAUUAUCACGAAGCAAGUGGAAAGCACGGAAACACAGGAUUCAAUGCACAGAUUGCAAAGGCAGGA
Molecule: small RNA, 2503 nt
Filed under: Histoplasma capsulatum
Lineage: Eukaryota; Fungi; Ascomycota; Eurotiomycetes; Onygenales; Ajellomycetaceae
Also listed under: 1 other name
Description: hypothetical RNA
Source: RNAcentral